Molecule: microRNA precursor, 67 nt
Filed under: Ovis aries (sheep)
Lineage: Eukaryota; Metazoa; Chordata; Mammalia; Artiodactyla; Bovidae
Description: miRNA (ENSOARG00000024180.1)
Source: RNAcentral
GAAAUGGGUGCGGGGGAGGGUGUGAGUGUGUGUGUGUGUGUGUGUGUGCGCGUGUGCGCGCGCGUGC